This 496-nucleotide ribosomal RNA is filed under the name uncultured bacterium. RNAcentral's name for it is "partial 16S ribosomal RNA". It matches the Rfam family "Bacterial small subunit ribosomal RNA", at positions 28 to 523 of the family's 1533-position model. The record is from RNAcentral.
GAUGAACGCUAGCGGCAGGCUUAACACAUGCAAGUCGAGGGGUAGAGGUUGCUUGCAACCUUGAGACCGGCGCACGGGUGCGUAACGCGUAUGCAACCUACCUUUUACAGAGGGAUAGCCCAGAGAAAUUUGGAUUAAUACCUCAUAGUAUAUAACCUUCGCAUGUUGGUUAUAUUAAAGUUCCAACGGUAAAAGAUCGGCAUGCGUCCUAUUAGCUAGAUGGUAAGGUAACGGCUUACCAUGGCAACGAUAGGUAGGGGUCCUGAGAGGGAGAUCCCCCACACUGGUACUGAGACACGGACCAGACUCCUACGGGAGGCAGCAGUGAGGAGUAUUGGACAAUGGGCGCAAGCCUGAUCCAGCCAUGCCGCGUGCAGGAAGAAGCAUCUAUGGUGUGUAAACUGCUUUCGUACAGGAAGAAACACCCCGACGUGUCGGGGCUUGACGGUACUGUAAGAAUAAGGAUCGGCUAACUCCGUGCCAGCCGCCGCCGUAA